RNAcentral lists this ribosomal RNA (497 nucleotides) under uncultured bacterium. RNAcentral describes it as "partial 16S ribosomal RNA". It matches the Rfam family "Bacterial small subunit ribosomal RNA", at positions 28 to 507 of the family's 1533-position model. The record is from RNAcentral.
GAUGAACGCUGGCGGCGUGCCUAAUACAUGCAAGUCGAGCGAACGGACGAGAAGCUUUCUCCUCUGAUGUUAGCGGCGGACGGGUGAGUAACACGUGGAUAACCUACCUAUAAGACUGGGAUAACUUCGGGAAACCGGAGCUAAUACCGGAUAAUAUUUUGAACCGCAUUGUUCAAAAGUGAAAGACGGUCUUGCUGUCACUUAUAGAUGGAUCCGCGCUGCAUUAGCUAGUUGGUAAGGUAACGGCUUACCAAGGCAACGAUGCAUAGCCGACCUGAGAGGGUGAUCGGCCAGCUUGGAACUGAGACACGGCCCAGACUCCGACGGGAGGAAGCAGUAGGGAAUCUUCCGCAAUGGGCGAAAGCCUGACGGAGCAACGCCGCGUGAGUGAUGAAGGUCUUCGGAUCGUAAAACUCUGUUAUUAGGAAAGAACAUAUGUGUAAGUAACUGUGCACAUCUUGACGGUACCUAAUGAGAAAGCCCCGGCUAACUACGUG